This 814-nucleotide ribosomal RNA is filed under the name Agromyces sp. Its description in RNAcentral is "bacterial SSU rRNA". It matches the Rfam family "Bacterial small subunit ribosomal RNA", at positions 21 to 837 of the family's 1533-position model. The record is from RNAcentral. Lineage: Bacteria; Bacillati; Actinomycetota; Actinomycetes; Micrococcales; Microbacteriaceae.
GGCUCAGGACGAACGCUGGCGGCGUGCUUAACACAUGCAAGUCGAACGAUGAUCUCCAGCUUGCUGGGGGGAUUAGUGGCGAACGGGUGAGUAACACGUGAGUAACCUGCCCUGGACUCUGGGAUAACCCCGAGAAAUCGGAGCUAAUACCGGAUAGGACCUGGAACCGCAUGGUUUUGGGUGGAAAGUUUUUCGGUCUGGGAUGGACUCGCGGCCUAUCAGCUUGUUGGUGAGGUAAUGGCUCACCAAGGCGUCGACGGGUAGCCGGCCUGAGAGGGUGACCGGCCACACUGGGACUGAGACACGGCCCAGACUCCUACGGGAGGCAGCAGUGGGGAAUAUUGCACAAUGGGCGCAAGCCUGAUGCAGCAACGCCGCGUGCGGGAUGACGGCCUUCGGGUUGUAAACCGCUUUUAGUAAGGAAGAAGGGAAGCGCAAGCUUUUUGACGGUACUUGCAGAAAAAGGACCGGCUAACUACGUGCCAGCAGCCGCGGUAAUACGUAGGGUCCGAGCGUUGUCCGGAAUUAUUGGGCGUAAAGAGCUCGUAGGCGGUUUGUCGCGUCUGCUGUGAAAUCCCGAGGCUCAACCUCGGGUCUGCAGUGGGUACGGGCAGACUGGAGUGCGGUAGGGGAGAAUGGAAUUCCUGGUGUAGCGGUGGAAUGCGCAGAUAUCAGGAGGAACACCGAUGGCGAAGGCAGUUCUCUGGGCCGUAACUGACGCUGAGGAGCGAAAGCGUGGGGAGCGAACAGGAUUAGAUACCCUGGUAGUCCACGCCGUAAACGUUGGGCGCUAGAUGUGGGGACCUUUCCACGG